RNAcentral lists this small RNA (596 nucleotides) under Caloramator australicus RC3. Lineage: Bacteria; Bacillati; Bacillota; Clostridia; Eubacteriales; Clostridiaceae. The record is from RNAcentral.
AUUAUACUAUAAAUAGGUGGCGCAGUAUUCUAGUCGGCUAGUCUAUUCUGAAGGCGGGGCUAAAAAUCCGCUAAAGGGCACAUCGAUGAAGUUCCUUGUGCUGGCUCGCUACGCCCAGUGGUGGGUUGGUGCUGGGAGUAAGGGGGAUGGGGCGACCGCAAUGGCAUGCGCAAUCGACCCUACCCCCGCGGAGACCCUUGUGCGUGGGGAAACCUACGGCAAGGGAUUAAACCUGCAAAGCGGUGUUAAGCUGCGUGCAGCGUAGCCUGCCUUGAGCAAGAAUGGUGGAGGAUAGAUCAGAUCCAUAUUCAUAAGGGCCUAAGAAUAUGGAUUAUCGCUAUAGGAAACCAUUUUUGCAAAAGAGGCUAGGAAUAGAUGAUGCCGUCGAGGAAAGCUCCUAGACUGUUCGUUUUGAGGCAGGAUGGGGAUUGCAGUGUGGACUAAGUGGUAAUCUAGCCUCACAUUCGGCAACGGUGUGAAUUUUCAGUUAAAGGGAAACCGCCUAGGCGGCGACGCCUGGGUCUGAAAAUGGGAAAGCCUGCUAGACCUAAGCCGCAAACUUAACUCAUCCUGCUGCCACCUAAAUUAAAUAAAGG